UACGGAGGGUGCAAGCGUUAAUCGGAAUUACUGGGCGUAAAGCGCACGCAGGUGGCUGAGUCAGUCGAUUGUGAAAGCCCUGGGCUUAACCUGGGAAUUGCAGUCGAUACUACUCGGCUUGAGUAUGGGAGAGGGCAGUGGAAUUCCUGGUGUAGCGGUGAAAUGCGCAGAUAUCAGGAAGAACACCAAUGGCGAAGGCAGCUCUCUGGGACGGUACUGACGCUGAGACGCGAAAGCGUGGGGAGCGAACAGG
RNAcentral lists this ribosomal RNA (253 nucleotides) under uncultured bacterium. RNAcentral's name for it is "partial 16S ribosomal RNA". It matches the Rfam family "Bacterial small subunit ribosomal RNA", at positions 524 to 776 of the family's 1533-position model. The record is from RNAcentral.